AGAGUUUGAUCAUGGCUCAGAACGAACGCUGGCGGCGUGGAUAAGACAUGCAAGUCGAACGCUAAUUUCAGGGUAGCAAUAUUCUGAGGUUGGAGUGGCGCAAGGGUGCGUAACACGUGGGUAAUUUGCCGUGAAGUUGGGGAUAACUCGCUGAAAGGCGAGCUAAUACCGGAUGUGAAAAUUAGGAGGCAUCUUCUGAUUUUUAAAGUUGGGGACCGUAAGGCCUGACGCUUCACGAUAAGCCCGCGGCCUAUCAGCUAGUUGGUGAGGUAACGGCUCACCAAGGCUAAGACGGGUAGCUGGUCUGAGAGGACGACCAGUCACACUGGAACUGAGACACGGUCCAGACACCUACGGGUGGCAGCAGUCGAGAAUUUUUCUCAAUGGGCGAAAGCCUGAAGGAGCGACGCCGCGUGGGGGAUGAAGGGCUUCGGCUCGUAAACCCCUGUCAUUUGCGAACAAACCUUACGAUUGAACAGAUCGUGAGCUGAUUGUAGCGAAAGAGGAAGGGACGGCUAACUCUGUGCCAGCAGCCGCGGUAAUACAGAGGUCCCAAGCGUUGUUCGGAUUCACUGGGCGUAAAGGGUGCGUAGGUGGUGAGGUAAGUUUGAUGUGAAAUCUCCGGGCUUAACCCGGAAACUGCAUUGAAUACUAUUUCGCUAGAGGAUUGGAGGGGAGACUGGAAUACUUGGUGUAGCAGUGAAAUGCGUAGAUAUCAAGUGGAACACCAGUGGCGAAGGCGAGUCUCUGGACAAUUCCUGACACUGAGGCACGAAAGCUAGGGGAGCAAACAGGAUUAGAUACCCCGGUAGUCC
RNAcentral lists this ribosomal RNA (815 nucleotides) under uncultured bacterium. RNAcentral's name for it is "bacterial SSU rRNA". It matches the Rfam family "Bacterial small subunit ribosomal RNA", at positions 8 to 796 of the family's 1533-position model. The record is from RNAcentral.